This 915-nucleotide unclassified non-coding RNA is filed under the name Hevea brasiliensis (rubber tree). The record is from RNAcentral. Lineage: Eukaryota; Viridiplantae; Streptophyta; Magnoliopsida; Malpighiales; Euphorbiaceae.
CUUGUUUGGGUUCCCAGUUUAUCAAUGGGCAAAAGCUGUUCUCUUGUUCAUAAAAUAGUAACAAUUCACCAUUAAAGUAAUGGUUAAUUUCGUUAGAAGCACAAUUUUAACUCCAACCUAAAUUACUUACAACACAGUUGACUUCUCCCCAUUGAUAAACUGGGAACCCAAACAAGAGUCCAUUCCAAGUUUCAGUUCAUCCCAAGUAAAGAAAAUUUGGCAAGCUAUUGAAUUGAAGCAUCUGUCAAAAACCUGGGAUUUCACCAGGCAUGGGAGCCAAUUCGUUCUUACUGAACCUUUCCUCAUCAUAGAAGGUUGCACGAACCACAUUACCUCCAAAGUACCGACCAUCGAGAUCGAUCAAUGCUUUUGUUGUUUCUUCUGAUCUCUCAAACUGUACAAAUAUUCUGACUGCCUCAUCACGGGGGAAGUUUGGCUCUGUUAUCUCAAAUAUGAGAACCCGAGUAACCGUCCCAUACUUCGAGCACUCGGAUCCAACCUCCUCUUCUAGCUCAUCAUCUACCUCACCAGGACCCACCAUGUUCCUGAGCAUCAAAACCCGAGUAGGUGGUCCAUUGAAAUUCACACUCUUCACCUUCUUCUCUGGUUUUGUCUCACUAGCAUUCACAAUCACUCCAGCUCUACGAUCAGUCUUCUUUGCCAUCAAUGGUGUUGUGAUCCCCUGCUCCUGUUUCCCAAGACCUUGUCCCUCCUUCCAACCCAUCUUUGCCAUCAUCCUUUGCGCAGCAGUCAUUUGUCCACCUGCACCAACCCCCAAUCCACCAGUUUCCGACUUCCCAAUAGUAAAUCUCUCACCGUUACUUGGGGGUGAUGGCGACCUUGGGACAGCACCACUCAUCGCUGCGCGCCUCCUCCAAGCUUCUUCCCCUGAAAUAUUUCUGUCCCUCUCUCUUU